Molecule: small RNA, 250 nt
Filed under: Arabidopsis thaliana (thale cress)
Lineage: Eukaryota; Viridiplantae; Streptophyta; Magnoliopsida; Brassicales; Brassicaceae
Description: ATSL203480
Source: RNAcentral
AAAAUGAUGAAACUCGUACCUAUAGGCAGAUCUGCCACAGUGUUCAGUUUGACCUGCGGGACCUUUUCGAUCGGAACCUGCUGCGCUGCUGGAAGGGCAAUCACUGGAACUGCUGGAGCUACGACAGAGUAGCUACGGUGCGAUCUGUGCUGAAGGUGGCCCAGUCGGUCUGACCAGGUCGGAGAAGGGUUAACAGCUCGAGUUCCGUCUCUGAAAGAGUAACCUCUUUGUUCUUAGCUGCAAAACCAUA